UUUUGCUACUACAAUAUAUCAUUUGCACUAUUUUGUUGCUGUUUUUCAUGUAACACACAGAUGUUCUGUAGUUAUAUUCUGAACAUUGCCCCUCUCAUCUCUCUCCUGUCCUUCCCAGUUAAGACAGAACCUGUUAAACAACAGUGAGACUGACUUAGACAGAAGGCAGCGCUGGACAGCCAUGCAGGCGAAGGAAUCAUCUUUUAUGCAGUGAUGGUGAAAUGGACAAACGCACACAUCAGCUGUUCCUUCAUUGAAUAAUAAAAUUGCCAUGCAAUCA
This is a long non-coding RNA of Oncorhynchus mykiss (rainbow trout), 280 nucleotides long. RefSeq lists it as uncharacterized. The record is from RefSeq and is a predicted model, not a curated record. NCBI's taxonomy places the organism in Eukaryota, Metazoa, Chordata, Actinopteri, Salmoniformes, Salmonidae.